Molecule: ribosomal RNA, 484 nt
Filed under: uncultured bacterium
Lineage: Bacteria
Description: partial 16S ribosomal RNA
Rfam family: Bacterial small subunit ribosomal RNA
Source: RNAcentral
AUUGAACGCUGGCGGCAGGCCUAACACAUGCAAGUCGAGCGGAUGAAGGGAGCUUGCUCCUGGAUUCAGCUGCGGACGGGUGAGUAAUGCCUAGGAAUCUGCCUGGUCUUGGGGGAUAACGUCCGGAAACGGGCGCUAAUACCGCAUACGUCCUGAUGGAGAAAGUGGGGGAUCUUCGGACCUCACGCUAUCAGAUGAGCCUAGGUCGGAUUAGCUAGUUGGUUGGGUAAAGGCCUACCAAGGCGACGAUCCGUAACUGGUCUGAGAGGAUGAUCAGUCACACUGGAACUGAGACACGGUCCAGACUCCUACGGGAGGCAGCAGUGGGGAAUAUUGGACAAUGGGCGAAAGCCUGAUCCAGCCAUGCCGCGUGUGUGAAGAAGGUCUUCGGAUUGUAAAGCACUUUAAGUUGGGAGGAAGGGAAGUAAGUGAAUACCUUGCUGUUUUGACGUUACCAACAGAAUAAGCACCGGCUAACUUCGUG